CUCCCGGCGCCGCCCCGCCCCCAUCUUCUCCCCCACUCCGGGCGCUGCCCGAGCCCAAACCUCCCUGGAUCCCGAUGCCGCCCCACCCCCACCUCCUCCCUCGCUCCCGGCCACCCAUGCCGCCUAUGCGCGCCCCUCCCACACACUCCCGACCUACUCCCGGCGCACAUGCCACCACCCCUGCUCCUCCCUCCUCCAUGAGGGCGCGCCGCCGCCCUUGUUCUCCCUUCCCCCUGCUGGCAUGCGCACCGCCGCCCCUCUGGCCAUCGCCGGCAUCCCGCUCGAGCCCGUGGACCCGAGGAAGAUGGAGUCCAUGGAUGAUGGGAAGGAGCAGCGGCUGCCUCGUGGUGACCUCGAUGCUGCUACUGGUAUGUGUUGUGCAAUCUUCAGAUAUGAAAAAAAGAUAGUACAGAGAGGAGAGAGGAUUGCAGUUCAGACAGAUUGACUGGUAAGGUUCAGAGAUGUUGCUGAAUGGAAUACAUGACCGAAUGGAAUCUAUAAUCUGCAGCUAUAGCAUCCUAUAGUCCGGGAACCUAUAAUGUGCUCAAUAAAUCCAUGUUUAUACCUUCCAAGUUUCACUUGCAUGUUUCCCUUGUAUUUGAUGUUGUGGCUGGUAAGUGCUUGUCUCUUAUGGAGUAUAGGUUGCAGUGGAGUAAGUGAAAAGUGUGCAUGAUUGUAGGUUGAAACUUGCUAAUUAUGAUUGAGCAGAUGGAGCCUGAUGCCCGCGUCUAUACCUCCUAAGUCGGAGGCGGCGUACCAUGUGUCGACCGCCCUGAACCCUGGUCCUCAUGAUCACGUCAACCAACAGGGUCAACGACAAGGAUGCUUCUGAUGUAGUAGGACUAGAUGCGACACCUUUCCUGAAUUUUCUUAUGUAUGAUGCAUUUCAUAGUGUUUCUUCUAUCACGGUAACAAGAAUCUCUACCUACUUUAUUGGUGAAAUUGAGGUUGAAUACCAAUAUACGCACAUACAGCAGCAAUGGUUGAUGACAACAACAGCCUUGUAGCUUCAGGAGUGGAGCAUGAGGAGGGCUCUGUAUUGUGGCGGGGAAGGAGCAGAGGAAUUGUGCAUCCGGGAAUGGCACGAUAGCCAAUCCUAUUUAUUGCUCUACUGUCUGACAGGUGCCACAACGGCCUUGUAGCUUCAGGAGCGGAGCAUGGAGCAGGGCUCUGAGUCGUGGUGGGGCAUGUCGGAGGGCUCUGGGUUAUGGCAGGGAAGGAGCGGAGGAACUGUGCAUCCGGGGAUGGCGUGACCGCCGAUCAUAUCCGUCGCACUGGUGCUUGACAGGUCAAAUGAUCAGCAAGGCAUGUGACAGCAUCUUCAGGCCCAACUCUCACUCUGCUGUCUCCCAUUCAACGCACUCGUCGAUGCUAGGGGUGGAUGGUUCUUUGAUGUUGGCACAACUGGAGACAGCAAGAAGCAGAGGGAGGGAGGCUAUCAUGUUGAAGAAGACGCCGGCACCCUGACAGCGGAAAUGCGGUUUCUCGGAGCUAGCGGGAGGAGGCCGAUGGCUUCCUGUUGUAGUAACGCGAUGCUGAAGCAACAACGCACCAGCCUGCAAGGUGAUUAGCAGUCAGCAAACUAUUGGAAAGAUGAUGGUACCUCGUUUUUCUCAAGCUGUGAAGACAUGCACAAGAAUAGAUCCGUCGAUGAAGUAAACAACAUAUUUCAAGAUAUGAUGGUUGGUACUUCCAGGUUAGAGUGUAGCUUUCAGAUGAUUUUCUUCCCUCGGGAUAUUUGAAGAUUGUUUGUUACCCAUCAAGUUCAGAAAAACCAAGGGUAUCAUAUGAAUUGGAUUACGUAGAAAACACAGAGAUAAAAGGGGUAUUUUAUCUACUAUCUCCACGAUGACACUGGUGCCCGUGCGCACGAUGAUGGCAUGGUGACGAUGAAUUGGGUUACGUAGAAGGUCGUCUUCCCGGCGCACCACGCGCUGGCCCCCGUCUCCAUCCGCGGCCGCACCAACAAGACAGGGAAAAUGGAUAAAGUCUGCUAACUGGAACUGGAUAAUUGAUCCUUUAAAUGGAGAAAAAUCUCUCAAAGUUGCUGGGGGUUCAUGGAUCUAAAAUAAAGGUAUUUAUGUUUUGCGGUGUUUCUCUUUUGUAUUCCAUGUUACAACACUAUGCGUGUAAUUUAGUCAUAGUAUCUCAACUUUUCUCAGUUCAAAUACAAUAUUUUUUUUCCUUCGGAAAGAGCUCAAAUACAAAGACUGACUUUUAUGCUAUUUCAUCACAGCCACUGACGAAGUUAAGUGCAGUGCAGGCAAAAUGGAUAUAGUCUGCCAAUUGGAACUGGAUAGUUGAUCCUUUAAAUGGCAAAAAAUUAAUCAAAGUUGCUAAGGUUCAGGGAUCUAAAAUAAAUGUAUUGAUGCUUUGUGGUGCUUCUCUUUUGAUUUCCAUGCUACAGCGCUAUGAGUAUAAUUUAGUCAUAGUAUCUAUCAACUUUUCUCAGUUCAAAUUCUUUUUCUUCCAAAAAGAGCUCAAAAUACAAAGAAUCAAUUUUCUUUGUUUAAACUUUACUGGUAUUGUCGUGUGUGUAUUAGAUCUGAAGUGUGUUCUCAAACAGUAUAAAGUAAUUUCAUGUUGCAACCAUUUGUAUUAAGCAUGGACUUCACAACCCACAUAGAGCUCCAGAGAGGUAUGUGUUGUUUUCUUGUACUAUGAAUUUAAGGCGGUUCUCGAGAGAAACAAGUUACCAUGGACCGGCGAGAUCAAGACAUGGCUCCGACAACAUCAACCCAAGCGGCGGCCGUGAUAGAGAGAGCGUUCGUGAGAGGGGAUGGAGUGGCGGCUGCACGUCUGUGUCGAGUCGACCAGUUGCAAGAGCGGAUGGGGCGGUGGCUGCGCAUAUGCGCUCGUGGAGGUGCCGGUAUGCACCCUGAUUUAUUUGAGCCUGGGAGGUGCCGGUAUGCACCCUGAUUUUUUUUGUAUGCAUAUCCCUGAAUUUUAUGUGUCGUGAUUUAAGUGUUGUUGUGUGUGUCAUUGUGUCCUAUAUAAUGAUUCUUAUUGACGCACCACUGCAACCCAGUUCGUUUAUCAAAUUGAUGCAAGAAACAAACUAAUACAUAGAGAGUACAAAUUUAUUACAAUAAUGUAUAUAUGCCCUGCAGUACCUGUGCACCUUGCAAUAGGUAGAGAUGGAUAAAUUUUGUAGCUUUUUGUUCCCCUUUUUUUCCAUCGAAAUUAUGGAUUUGGAAGCUAUUCAUGCAGUGUUUCAAUUGCUUGCUAUAUUAUGGAUUUGCAAUGAGCACAAGCCUGCAACGUUGAAGGAAAAGCCGUUGUCGCUGAUGACAUGACACUGUGGGUGAGAUUUUUUAUUAUGUUAGCACAGAGUACAGACUAAUAUUAUGCCGCAACAACAAUGUAUAUACCUUCCGAGCUUUGUGGAUGCUUCUCUUCACAAAAGGAGAGGUUUAGAGUUCAUGCUUUGUGCUUAUUAGAAAACAAAGAAAAGGAACGAGUUGCUUGAAAUAUUGACAUGUAUAUAGUGUAACAAAAACAUGCUUACAGUUCUAACAUGAAUUUUAUUGAGCUGAGAGUUGUGAUAUGCAAAUGUUUUAUGGUUGAUGGUUCUGUACCAUCGGUUAUAUUGUAUAAAAAUGGUCUCUGCUUUCAUCUUCUUUGAUGAUAUAUUUUCUUGUAAAAAUUGAAAUGCAUAAUGCACCUAUUCUUUUUAUCGUGGUUCCAAUUUUUUGCCAAAUUUAUAAAUUCUUUAUGAAUAGUAACGUAGACGCAUGUUCUUAAUCUAUUUUUUUUCACCCCAAAAUGCUGUGUAGAUCUGCCAUUGACAUUUUUUGGAGCACUGGAUGAACAUUUGCUAACAUGUUGAUAGGAAAAGCCUUUGUUUCCUCAUAAAAUGUUUCCCAUUAGUUAAACUUAUUGGAUACAUGCAGUAUGCACGAUGACCAUGUACAACCUUUUUAGUUAGAAUUGUGUCUGCUACUAAUCUAUCUUUACUUAAUAGAAUGAACUCUGCAUGUUUCGGAAACAAGAGGUAAUGCAAACAUUUUAUUCUGUUGUAAACUUGUGAUUCAGCAUUGGCUGAGGUGAUGUCAUGUUGCGGCUGGAGCCAUCAUCGACCACGAUGUCGUGCUAGGAGAACAAGGGCAAAGGCGAGGACAUGUUGGUGUUGUUGGAAUAAGGUUUAUUGGGUCUUCCUCCUCCAGUAACAUACUCCCUCCAUCCCAAAAUUCUUGUCUUAGAUUUGUCUAGAUAUAGAUGUAUCAAGUCACAUUUUAGUAUUAGAUACAUCCGUAUCUAGACAAAUCUAAGACAAGAAAUUUGGGACAGAGGGAGUAUUACACAAUGUAUUUAAGCUGAUUGAUUCUCUUUGGUAAAAAUGUCUCUCAUUUGCUUGAUGAAACUUUACCUUUGUAAAAUUAGCUGAGUUAUAUACAUCUAUGUGUGGUAUCUAUCUGGUUAUAUUAAACUGCAGUUCAUUCUUCUUGCUGGAA
Long non-coding RNA from Triticum urartu, 4454 nucleotides. RefSeq lists it as uncharacterized. Lineage: Eukaryota; Viridiplantae; Streptophyta; Magnoliopsida; Poales; Poaceae. The record is from RefSeq and is a predicted model, not a curated record.